AUUGAACGCUGGCGGCAGGCCUAACACAUGCAAGUCGAGCGAGCGGCGGACGUGUGAGUCACGUAUGUGGACUUGCUCGAUAGCGGGGGAUAACUACUGGAAACGGUGGCUAAUCCCGCAUACUAUCGGAUGAACCCAUAUGGGAUUAGCUAGUAGGUGGGGUAAAGGCUCACCUAGGCCACGAUCUCUAGCUGGUCUGAGAGGAUGAUCGGCCACACUGGGACUGAGACACGGCCCAGACUCCUACGGGAGGCAGCAGUGGGGAAUAUUGCGCAAUGGGCGCAAGCCUGAUGCAGCCAUGCCGCGUGUAUGAAGAAGGCCUUAGGGUUGUAAAGUUCUUUCAGCGGGGAGGCGUUACCCGCAGAGGAAGCACCGGCUAACUCCGUGCCAGCAGCCGCGGUAAUAC
This 406-nucleotide ribosomal RNA is filed under the name uncultured bacterium. RNAcentral's name for it is "partial 16S ribosomal RNA". It matches the Rfam family "Bacterial small subunit ribosomal RNA", at positions 30 to 526 of the family's 1533-position model. The record is from RNAcentral.